RNAcentral lists this ribosomal RNA (443 nucleotides) under uncultured bacterium. RNAcentral's name for it is "partial 16S ribosomal RNA". It matches the Rfam family "Bacterial small subunit ribosomal RNA", at positions 338 to 795 of the family's 1533-position model. The record is from RNAcentral.
CCUACGGGAGGCUGCAGUGGGGAAUAUUGGACAAUGGGGGGAACCCUGAUCCAGCGACGCCGCGUGAGUGAAGAAGUAUUUCGGUAUGUAAAGCUCUAUCAGCAGGGAAGAAAGUAAUGACGGUACCUGACUAAGAAGCCCCGGCUAACUACGUGCCAGCAGCCGCGGUAAUACGUAGGGGGCAAGCGUUAUCCGGAUGUACUGGGUGUAAAGGGGGCGUAGACGGCGAUGCAAGUCUGAAGUGAAAGGCGGGGGCCCAACCCCCGGACUGCAUUGGAAACUGUAUGGCUGGAGUGCAGGAGAGGUAAGUGGAAUUCCGAGUGUAGCGGUGAAAUGCGUAGAUAUUAGGAGGAACACCAGUGGCGAAGGCGGCUUACUGGACUGUAACUGACGUUGAGGCACGAAAGCGUGGGGAGCAAACAGGAUUAGAUACCCGGGUAGUC